Sphaeramia orbicularis (orbiculate cardinalfish) is the source of this 1371-nucleotide long non-coding RNA. RefSeq lists it as uncharacterized. NCBI's taxonomy places the organism in Eukaryota, Metazoa, Chordata, Actinopteri, Kurtiformes, Apogonidae. The transcript is spliced from 2 exons. The record is from RefSeq and is a predicted model, not a curated record.
UGCAGCUUGCAUUAGCUUAACUUAACCAGUUUUUCGCUAGCUAACAUUUGCAAAAACAGUGCAUUCCGACUCCCACACCCCAUAUAAUCUGUAUGAAACAUGACGAAGAUAAAUAAAAUAAUGUGAAAUACAGUCACUCACACAAAUAAAGAAACAUUAUUCUUACUAAGAUGCUGGUUUUGACAUGUCUGCAUUACACGCCAAGUUAAAAUAGACGUCUACAUGGUCAAAUUAUAUUGCAUGAAGUUACUACUUGAAUUUCAUUUUAAUUUUGUGGGCUAAUAAUGUCUUGGUUACACUUUACUGAGUGGAUGGAUGUCUGGUUCACUCGCCCAUGUCCGCCUUCAUUUCCUCUUUCGCGCCUUCAACAUUCUGUGUAAUUGUAAUUUGUAUCAUUUACGAUCAGAACCAAGUGAAAACACAACGAUCCUGUAAUUUUACAAUGUGAUACUGUGAAUAAAUGCUUGAAUUUACGGUAAAUAUUUUUUUUUACCCACAAUGCAUUGCAAUAUACAGUAACACCUUGUCAAUUGUUAGAAUAAGAAGCUACUGUAAUUUUUUUACUGUAGAAAUUAGAGAAAUUUGUUAUAGUGUACUAAGGUUGCACUGAUCUGAUAUUAGGAUUGGGUAUCGGCCCCAAUAUCAACAUUGUAGCUGGAUCGGGGAUCUGUGAAAGGAACUGAUCUGUAAGACUGAUCCUUCCCCUUUAAAUUUUUGCGACAAGGGCUACGUCAUGCUUGCCAAGCAUAAUUCUAAAAGUAAUGCGAUGGACCUGUAUGUGGAGGACAUGGUGGGUUAUAUAGCUAUAGCUAAUAACAUUUAUGCAGUGUAAAAUUACUGUCUGACUAAAUCUAUUCUAUCCUUGAGCUCCAUGUGUUCAGUCUGUUUAGUUGUUUUUCAGAUAAUGAAUCCUCUGGUUGCUUACUUUCGCUGUGAAACAAAGGAAAAUAAGCACAUGUGGGAUGCUCAUUCACACCAGGACAUCCCUUUCAGUCAACAUGUUGGACAGUGGAGACACUGGCUUAGAGGAGACACAUAAAGACAAGAUGAACCUACAAGAUUCUGGAGGCAAGUGCUUUAAAGGCCAUUGACUGUGGCAUGUGCAAAAUAUUUCUGACAAGUGCGGAAGCAGAUCAAAGCAAUGGAUUUGUAUGACUUUAUUACUUGUGCCCAUGAUGACAUAUUUGCAGCUCAUACAGACAGAUCUUUGUUAAGGUCAUUGAAAAAGUGAUGUGAUAUUUAAAAAAACAACAACUUGCCAAAAUACUUAUGGGCAAGUCACAUAGAAGGGACACAAUGCUGAGAAUGAAUUCAUACUGUUCUUAUUAAUGUAUUUUUUUGGUCUUUAUUCUGAUUAAAAUAAUUGUUUCA